This 138-nucleotide small nucleolar RNA is filed under the name Ornithorhynchus anatinus (platypus). The record is from RNAcentral. Lineage: Eukaryota; Metazoa; Chordata; Mammalia; Monotremata; Ornithorhynchidae.
AUCCUCUCAGGGUUGCAACUGGAGAGUUUCCAGUACUCUACCAGUCUCGGCUAUGGGAGGGAGAAUCAAGCAGAGGCCUACUCAUUCCAUUCCUAGCUUGGCCAGUGGCUACCGAGCGGAAGGCAAUCUGCUACAAGU